This 253-nucleotide ribosomal RNA is filed under the name uncultured bacterium. RNAcentral describes it as "partial 16S ribosomal RNA". It matches the Rfam family "Bacterial small subunit ribosomal RNA", at positions 524 to 776 of the family's 1533-position model. The record is from RNAcentral.
UACGGAGGGUGCAAGCGUUAUCCGGAUUCACUGGGUUUAAAGGGUGCGUAGGCGGGCAGGUAAGUCCGUGGUGAAAUCUCUGAGCUUAACUCAGAAACUGCCAUGGAUACUAUUUGUCUUGAAUAUUGUGGAGGUAAGCGGAAUAUGUCAUGUAGCGGUGAAAUGCUUAGAUAUGACAUAGAACACCAAUUGCGAAGGCAGUUUACUACACAGUUAUUGACGCUGAGGCACGAAAGCGUGGGGAUCAAACAGG